CACACACACACACAAAGGAAGCUCUUAAAUAAUUCCAAUUUAUUGAAUUUUAUCUGUGUCAUGUGCAAUUCAGUGACACGAGGCAUAAGAAUAACAUGUGCUAUCAGUGACGACCAAAAGAUUUGGCAAAUGCCAGAAGACAAGGAUCUGGUAACCUUAACAAUGACCUUACCAUCCCUAUCCAAAAAGCCAAAAGAGGGGAAAUUUUGAGAUUAAAUAGGAAAAUCUUUGUGCCAGUAAUAAUGUCCGACACUGUAGCAUGAUCAAACAAAUAAACAUACUAUGAGGAUGCCAAAAUGGAAAACUAAUAGUGGAUGCACUGGUCAAACAGCUAAUAAUCCAAAACACAUUAAAAUACAGCAAUAAAGACAAGUAGGGUUAGAUAAUUAACAAAAAUCUGAGCCUCCCAGCAGGACUUUCUCAAACUAGUUUACAUAAAACACAGGGAUUUCAACUAUUGGCUAUCUACUCAGACCACAGCAUUGAUAACCGGUGGUUCAAGAAAUAUUACAUAAAACAUUUGAAAAAAAUUAGGCAAUGUAUCAUUUCAUGCCUCAAAUUAAGGUUUUCAUAUCUGUUUGACUUCCAUUUUUGCAUAUUUAACUAUGUAUAAGUUAUUUCAUUAUGAUUCGAAGCCACGAGCUUUAAAAAUAAUGAAGAUAUGCAAUUAUAGUUCCCAAAUCACGUCAAGAGCAAAAAGCCUUGAGAUGCAAACCUGAAACACUCAUGCAUGCAUACAAGUGUGAAUGCACAACAAUUUUCAUUGCAUGCAAUGGGAAUUUUAAGUGAAUCAACGCUGUUAAAUCUUCAGUUGAAAAAGG
RNAcentral lists this unclassified non-coding RNA (821 nucleotides) under Hevea brasiliensis (rubber tree). The record is from RNAcentral. Lineage: Eukaryota; Viridiplantae; Streptophyta; Magnoliopsida; Malpighiales; Euphorbiaceae.